Molecule: ribosomal RNA, 472 nt
Filed under: uncultured bacterium
Lineage: Bacteria
Description: partial 16S ribosomal RNA
Rfam family: Bacterial small subunit ribosomal RNA
Source: RNAcentral
GACGAACGCUGGCGGCGUGCUUAACACAUGCAAGUCGAACGCUGAAGCUUGGUGCUUGCUCUGGGUGGAUGAGUGGCGAACGGGUGAGUAAUACGUGAGUAACCUGCCCUUGACUCUGGGAUAAGCCUGGGAAACUGGGUCUAAUACUGGAUAUGACAUGCCACUGCAUGGUGGUGUGGUGAAAGGGUUUUACUGGUUUUGGAUGGGCUCACGGCCUAUCAGCUUGUUGGUGGGGUAAUGGCCUACCAAGGCGACGACGGGUAGCCGGCCUGAGAGGGUGAACGGCCACACUGGGACUGAGACACGGCCCAGACUCCUACGGGAGGCAGCAGUGGGGAAUAUUGCACAAUGGGCGGAAGCCUGAGGCAGCGACGCCGCGUGAGGGAUGACGGCCUUCGGGUUGUAAACCUCUUUCAGCACGGAAGAAGCGAGAGUGACGGUACGUGCAGAAGAAGCGCCGGCUAACUACGUG